This 418-nucleotide ribosomal RNA is filed under the name Arbolygus rubripes. RNAcentral's name for it is "partial 16S ribosomal RNA". The stretch from base 292 to 418 matches the Rfam family "Bacterial large subunit ribosomal RNA", at positions 2473 to 2600 of the family's 2925-position model. Lineage: Eukaryota; Metazoa; Arthropoda; Insecta; Hemiptera; Miridae. The record is from RNAcentral.
GUCUUUUAAUUGAAGGCUAGUAUGAAUGGUUGGAUGAGAAAUAUACUUUCUUUAUUUUAUAUAAAAAAAUUAAUUUUUUAGUUAAAAAGCUAAGAUUUUUUUAUAGGACGAGAAGACCCUAUAGAACUUUAUUUAUUUUUUUGUAUAAACUUUUUGGAUUUUUAUAAGAUUAUAUAUUAAUAUUAAUUUAAUUGGGGUGAUGGAAAAAAUUAUAUAACUUUUUCUAUUUUUUACAUUUAUUUAUGUAUAAUUGAUCCUUUAAUAUGGAUAAUAAGAUUAAGUUACCUUAGGGAUAACAGCGUUAUUUUUUUGGAGAGUUCUUAUCGAUAAAAUAGUUUGCGACCUCGAUGUUGGAUUAAAAUAAGUAUCAGGGGUAGAAUAUUGAUUACUAGGUCUGUUCGACCUUUAAAUUUUUACA